CAGUCGCCACGGUAAAACGGAGGGAGCGAGCGUUGUUCGGAAUUACUGGGCGUAAAGGGUGCGCAGGCGGCUUUGUAAGUUGGGAGUGAAAUCCCUGGGCUUAACCCAGGAAUUGCUUUCAAAACUACAAGGCUAGAGUCUCGGAGAGGUUAGCGGAAUUCCCAGUGUAGAGGUGAAAUUCGUAGAUAUUGGGAGGAACACCAGUGGCGUAAGCGGCUAACUAGACGAGUACUGACGCUCAGGCACGAAAGCGUGGGGAUCAAACAGGAUUAGAUACCCCGGUAGUCCCUGUCUCUUAUAC
This 301-nucleotide ribosomal RNA is filed under the name uncultured bacterium. Its description in RNAcentral is "partial 16S ribosomal RNA". It matches the Rfam family "Bacterial small subunit ribosomal RNA", at positions 509 to 807 of the family's 1533-position model. The record is from RNAcentral.